This is a long non-coding RNA of Girardinichthys multiradiatus, 831 nucleotides long. RefSeq lists it as uncharacterized. NCBI's taxonomy places the organism in Eukaryota, Metazoa, Chordata, Actinopteri, Cyprinodontiformes, Goodeidae. The record is from RefSeq and is a predicted model, not a curated record. The transcript is spliced from 4 exons.
UCUUCUAAUGACGUCCCUGUUCGACGAGGAAAAAAGCUGGCCUUGAUCCAAAUCAAGUUCCGGCCGGCAUCUACAGAAGGCUUAAACAUCAAACACACAGACCGGUGGGUGGUUGAAAGGUCCAAAGAUUGAGUUGUUCAGGCGUAAAAAGCAAAACGGUUCUUCUACACGGAGGGAACGUUGUGUGUGAUUACUGGGCUCGAACCAAAACCGGUGGUUUGCAAAAAAAUGAAAAAAAAAAAAACGAAAAAAAAACCAAUGCCUGCAGCUCGAUGUAUCCAGUAAAAUGGUAAAAGUCGCUUUUUGUUAUAGUGCUGAACUGAUCCGCCUUGGGACGAACAGGACAACCGAGGGACAAUCACUUUAUUUUUUCUCGCUAAAAUCCAAGUGAACCAGAACUUACCCGUCAGUCCGACGCAAAGCAGACAGAGGAGCAGAUGGGGAACACGGCAGCUGCGCAUGAUUAAAACCAAAACUGCGGGACUGAUAUGUGGAAUAGGCGAUGGAUCUUGGCCACGGCGCUGGUGGUGUAGGGGUUUAAGCAUGUGACCCAUAUAUGGAGGCCUUAGUCCAUCGUGGGAUCCAACCCCGUCACCGGAAAACGUCAGAAGCAUCAUGGACUAACAUGACCAGGGUUCCUAUUCGGAUGAAAUUGGCACACCAGGAAAAGGACAGAAGGACCAGAGUGGCCAAAUGAACUGGGCAACUGAGGAGCAGAAGUUUUGGUCUUCAGGAGCACAACUCACCUUUCUCUUGACAUCAAAGGCAACACUGCAGAGAAGACAACCAUAGAAGCUCAUCUCCAGGAUGUAAUACCAGUACUGAGACUCC